Molecule: transfer RNA, 87 nt
Filed under: Sphingomonas sp.
Lineage: Bacteria; Pseudomonadati; Pseudomonadota; Alphaproteobacteria; Sphingomonadales; Sphingomonadaceae
Description: tRNA-Ser
Rfam family: tRNA
About the family: Transfer RNA (tRNA) molecules are approximately 80 nucleotides in length. Their secondary structure includes four short double-helical elements and three loops (D, anti-codon, and T loops).
Source: RNAcentral
GGAAGAGUGUCUAAGUGGUUUAAGGAACUGGUCUUGAGAACCAGCGACGGUGCAAGCCGUUCUUGGGUUCGAAUCUCACCUCUUCCG